UACGGGGGGAGCAAGCGUUGUUCGGAUUUACUGGGCGUAAAGGGCGCGUAGGCGGCGUGACAAGUCACUUGUGAAAUCUCCGGGCUUAACUCGGAACGGUCAAGUGAUACUGUCGUGCUAGAGUACAGAAGGGGCAACUGGAAUUCUCGGUGUAGCGGUGAAAUGCGUAGAUAUCGAGAGGAACACCUGCGGCGAAGGCGGGUUGCUGGGCUGAUACUGACGCUGAGGCGCGACAGCGUGGGGAGCAAACAGG
Molecule: ribosomal RNA, 253 nt
Filed under: uncultured bacterium
Lineage: Bacteria
Description: partial 16S ribosomal RNA
Rfam family: Bacterial small subunit ribosomal RNA
Source: RNAcentral